AGAGUUUGAUCAUGGCUCAGGACGAACGCUGGCGGCGCGCCUAACACAUGCAAGUCGAACGGAGCUGAGAGGAGCUUGCUUUUCUUAGCUUAGUGGCGAACGGGUGAGUAACGCGUGAGUAACCUGCCCUGGAUGGGGGACAACAGUUGGAAACGACUGCUAAUACCGCAUAAGCCCACGGCCCGGCAUCGGGCUGAGGGAAAAGGAUUUAUUCGCUUCAGGAUGGACUCGCGUCCAAUUAGCUAGUUGGUGAGGUAACGGCCCACCAAGGCGACGAUUGGUAGCCGGACUGAGAGGUUGAACGGCCACACUGGAACUGAGACACGGUCCAGACUCCUACGGGAGGCAGCA
RNAcentral lists this ribosomal RNA (351 nucleotides) under uncultured bacterium. RNAcentral's name for it is "bacterial SSU rRNA". It matches the Rfam family "Bacterial small subunit ribosomal RNA", at positions 8 to 353 of the family's 1533-position model. The record is from RNAcentral.